This is a non-coding RNA of Danionella cerebrum, 73 nucleotides long. NCBI's taxonomy places the organism in Eukaryota, Metazoa, Chordata, Actinopteri, Cypriniformes, Danionidae. The record is from the annotation of a GenBank genome assembly.
GGGGAUGUAGCUCAGUGGUAGAGCGGAUGCUUAGCAAUGUAUGAGGUCCUGAGUUCAAUCCCUGGCAUCUCCU